GGAUUCCCCUAGUAACUGCGAGUGAAGAGGGAAAAGCUCAAAUUUAAAAUCUGGCAGUCUUUGAUUGUCCGAGUUGUAAUCUAGAGAAGUGUUAUCCGCGCUGGACCGUGUACAAGUCUCCUGGAAUGGAGCGUCAUAGAGGGUGAGAAUCCCGUCUUUGACACGGACUGCCAGUGCUUUUGUGAUGCGCUCUCAAAGAGUCGAGUUGUUUGGGAAUGCAGCUCAAAAUGGGUGGUAAAUUCCAUCUAAAGCUAAAUAUUGGCGAGAGACCGAUAGCGAACAAGUACCGUGAGGGAAAGAUGAAAAGAACUUUGGAAAGAGAGUUAAACAGUACGUGAAAUUGCUGAAAGGGAAACGCUUGAAGUCAGUCGCGUUAACUAAGGAUCAACCUUGCUUUUGCUGGGCGCACUUCUUAGUUAAUGGGUCAGCAUCAAUUUUGAUCGUUGGAUAAAGUCUGAAGGAAUGUGGCAUCUUAGGAUGUGUUAUAGCCUUUAGUUGUAUACAACGGUUGGGAUUGAGGAACUCAGCACGCCGAAAGGCCGAGUAACUUGUUACUACGUUCGUGCUUAGGAUGCUGGCAUAAUGGCUUUAAUCGACCCGUCUUGAAACACGGACCAAGGAGUCUAACAUGCCUGCGAGUAUUUGGGUGGAAAACUCAAGUGCGUAAUGAAAGUGAAAGUUGAGAUCCUUGUCAUGGGGAGCAUCGACGCCCGGACCAGACCUUUUGUGACGGUUCUGCGGUAGAGCAUGUAUGUUGGGACCCGAAAGAUGGUGAACUAUGCCUGAAUAGGGUGAAGCCAGAGGAAACUCUGGUGGAGGCUCGUAGCGAUUCUGACGUGCAAAUCGAUCGUCAAAUUUGGGUAUAGGGGCGAAAGACUAAUCGAACCAUCUAGU
This 894-nucleotide ribosomal RNA is filed under the name Stropharia atroferruginea. RNAcentral's name for it is "Stropharia sp. MBK-2018a partial large subunit ribosomal RNA". It matches the Rfam family "Eukaryotic large subunit ribosomal RNA", at positions 72 to 948 of the family's 3401-position model. Lineage: Eukaryota; Fungi; Basidiomycota; Agaricomycetes; Agaricales; Strophariaceae. The record is from RNAcentral.